GGGGGUAUAGGUCAGAGGUAGAGUGUGUGCUUAGCAUGCUUGAGGUCCUGGGCUCAAUCCCCAGUACCUCCA
Molecule: transfer RNA, 72 nt
Filed under: Camelus bactrianus (Bactrian camel)
Lineage: Eukaryota; Metazoa; Chordata; Mammalia; Artiodactyla; Camelidae
Also listed under: 1 other name
Rfam family: tRNA
About the family: Transfer RNA (tRNA) molecules are approximately 80 nucleotides in length. Their secondary structure includes four short double-helical elements and three loops (D, anti-codon, and T loops).
Source: Rfam by way of RNAcentral